Non-coding RNA from Sus scrofa (pig), 7237 nucleotides. The record is from RefSeq and is a predicted model, not a curated record. Lineage: Eukaryota; Metazoa; Chordata; Mammalia; Artiodactyla; Suidae.
CAGCAAUGGCAGAUCUGAGCUGCAUCUGUGACCUACCCCACAGCUCACUGCCAUGAUGGAUCCUUAACCCACUGAGUGAGGCCAGGGAUCAUACCCGCAUCCUCCUGGAUACUGUUCGGGUUCCUUAUGGCUCAGCUACAACACAAACUGCUUUUGGAACUAUCUUCUCUCCCUUGGUUAUCUGGAAUUGGGGUGGGGGUGGGGAGUUGUUUCUCCAUAACAUAAAAUCUCCUGGGGUGGAAGGAGUUAAUUUAUUCAAGGGGGUUUGGGGAAAGGAGACUUAAAGGUGUCUCCGCUGGCGAAGGGUCCUAUGCAAGCAGGAGAGAACUGUCCCCUGGGUCUUGGCUCCAUCAAAGUGGUGGUCAAUGCAGGGUUCACCACAUGCCCAAGGCCCCUGGGAAUCCCAGCCUCCCCGCUAAUUGUGACAUUUCGCGGGCCAUUGUCGGAGGCCUAAUUGCCUGCCACAGAACACAGCUCAGCCAUUUCGCCUGCUGGUGGGGGCUGCUCAGUGCCGGCCUCCACUGUUCGCGGUGGCCCGGCGCCAACAAGCAGUCCUGGAACAAACCUGCAGCGGCCGGCAGGCGUGGCCCAUCUUUAUGGGCGCCCCAUGAGGGCCCUCAGUGUGUGCGUGUCUGUGCACGUCUGCGCAGACCUGUGGGCCUGGGAGAUGUCCUGGGCUCAGCCCUCAGCGAACUUCAAGGUUGGGGGGUCAUGGAGGUGUCCGGGUUUAGGGUGGGCGGAGGUGUGGCAGAGGGGCCCGCGCAGUGAUGGAGACUCCAGAGGCAGGCGGGUGGGUGUUCAGAGAGGGGCGGGGGCGGGAUGCCCGCGGAUAGAUGGAGCAAGGCCAAGGGCUCUGUGCGCCCCCCUCCGCCCGAGCCGCAGCGUCCCAAAGCCAGACCCUGGGCCGACCCUGUGCUGCGACCUCGCAGUCAGCCCCCCGGCUCCUUCCGAGACCUCCCAGCUCACGAGAUAAGAGGAAAUUUCGCCAGAGAUCCAUGUGAAAAUAGGUGUAUUUCUGGAUAAGCAGCGAGCCUGAAAAACGGCUGAGCCAGAAUCUGCUCUGCUGACAGAAGAUCUAUGUACCAAAUUCCUCUUCAAAAUCUGUUUCUCCGGAGCUGUGCCGAUCUGGGGGAAGUUCUUGGUGUCAGGUGCCUGGGCUGCCGCUGCUCCAACCUUUCCUGGGCCACUGUUUCCCAGCGUGAGUUCUGGUCACGUUAGGCUGCAGCAGCAGCGCAGGCCGGGCUGGGAGCAGAAAAGUCAAGAGGGAUUUGAAUGGCAAAAAGGUCAUUCUCAUGCAUUACCCUGGCUGGGUCGGAAGUUGGCGUGAUGCAGCGUGACACCCAUCCUGGCGGCUGAGAGAAUAAGUGAUGGCUAUAUUUAUGUUUCCAUCUAAAUGCAUGGAUCAAAGCAGACACUUUAAUCUAUUCAACAACAGCCCGAGGAUUAAAAAGUUGCAGGCAAAUCACACUCUUAAAUUGGUAAUAUAUUUUUGCUUGUCACUUGACAAAUCAUUUUAGAGAGUGACUCCAGGCCGGGUGGGGGACCUGGAGAUUUGAACUUGGCUCUCUGCUGUAGCGGGCCCCGGCACCAUAGAAUGUGACAUGAAUCCCCUCACUUGCCAUAGUCCCUGUGAGUCAUGGCACAGGACUCCUAAAAGGGGUGGGGGAGCUAGUGGGGAGCAACAGGCCUAGGGUCACAUCUCCAAAUCUGUUUUAAUCUCCAAACAGCCUAGCAGGUGGGUGCUGUAAAGACUCCCAUUUUACAGAGCAGGAAAACCAGAUCGUGGCUUACCUGAGCCACACAAUAAUACGUUAGAGAGUGGGAUGCAAAGCUAGAUGUCCCGACUCCAAGUACAGUGCUCUUGUCUCUGCUGGAGCUGCAAGGACCGCAGAGAGGAGCAGAGACUCCUCAGCCACUUGGUUUGUGACUGUUAGCAAGUUCCUUUACUUCCCAGUUUCCUCAUCUGCAAACCAGAGAUAAUGAUGGCAUCCAUCUCCUGGGGUUGCCGUCAGGAAUAAAUCAGAUGACGCAGGGGAGGCAUAUGGUGAGAACACAUGUUUGUGCUGAGCUCUGAAGGACAGGACCAGACAGUGGUGUGUCUGGAGGGUGGGAAAGGAACUCAAAAGCGUGACAUUUGAGGAACAGUUGAAGUAACUGGGGCUGCUGAGUCAGGAAUAGAGAAGGUGUCUCCUAACGUAGGCUGGAUUGUGGAAAAAAAAAAAAAAAGGGAGAGUUGAUUUGCUCCAUGUGGCUCCAAGAGGGACAACUGAGUCAUUAAAGAGAUUGAUGGAUUUCAGCUAGAGAAAAGCGAGAAAUUACUAGUCAGAGUUGAGCAAAGAGGAAAUGAGGAGCUCAGGGUUCUGGGAGGUGUGGGGGUUAAGGCCAGAUGAGCACUUGGUGAUGAGGUACCAAUAGACACGCUUGUCCAGGCUUGACAUUUAGACCAGAUUUCCUUUAAAGUUCUUUCCAAGCAGCAGAGUCUAAAAUUCCAUGGUUGUAAGGUCAGCUCUCAAUCAUUUCCGGCAAUAGAACAAGGAUAGUUGGGUAGUCUACUGGGAAAAAAAAAUCUUUUUUUUUAAGGCAUUCUUUAUAUUUAAUGAUUUAUUUUUUUUUCUUUUUUCUUUUUUGGCCGCAUAGGUCAGGUGCUUAGUGUGGGAUCUCAGUUUCCAGACCAGGGACUGAACUGGACGGCAGUGGUGGAAGUGCCCAGUCCUAACCACUAGAUCGCCAGAAAACUCCCUCAUAAUUUAAUUCUAUUGAUUUAACCUGUGGGGUAUGUGGGGUGGCAUGGUGGUUCAGAAGUGGGCCAGGCGGCACGGGAAUGGCAAGGCAUCUGCUCUGAAAGGAGGUAAGCUAGCGGUGGGUGAAGGAAGAAUGUCUAUCCCCACCAGAUAUUGGCCAAAAUGGUCUGAGGCACUCUGGCCAGUGCCGGCCAACGGAAAAACCUUGGACUUGCAGCUCUGGAGACUUGGGUUUCCAUCUGGCUCCUUCUCUUAAUAUCUGUGUAUCCGCCUCAAAUCCCCUAAUGUCUCUAAGCCUCAGUUUCUCCAUGUGGGAAGCAGCUUCCUUCCCUGUUCACCUUUUAGAAGCGGUGUGCUAACUGGGGAAAAGCAGGCCUUGCUGCUGCCUUGGCUUUGGGAGACCGGCGCUGCUCCUGCAAGAGAGGGGGCGCCUUGAGCUCCCCGCAGCCGACUGGGCCCUCGUCGUCUCUCGGGGCCCCCUCCCCUAUGCGGUCCCGGGCUGCGGCUGCGGGGCGCAGGCGCGGGCGUCGGGGGCGGGGCCUCCGCCAAGGCGCGCGGCCAAAUCGCACCACCUGUCUGCGCGGAAACCGAGCGCGGGUGUCGCGUUUGGAGCGCAGGAGCGGAACCAGCAGUCCUCCUCUCCUUGCCUUUUGGGGCCAGUGGGCAUGUCCAGGGAUGGGGUCACGCACAGGUGUCUUACAGAGAAAUGUGCAUCUCGGAGUCUGUCAACAAAAUUUUUAUUUCAAGUCUGUGCAACGUGAGGAUUGUUGAAUUUCUGUCCUUCUGGUAUUUAUGGAGGACCCACAAAAAGAACUACUCUGAGUAAAUAAACAGAGAAGAUUAAAGGCUGUCCUCUAUGGGGGGCACCGUUUAUGAGGCAACAAACCAGGAGAGUUGUCUCUGGGAUUUUGUGAUGCUGCUCCAGCCCUGCAGUGGAAACACAUCUCAUUUACGAGUCAUUUCAGGAAGUUUAGGCUCCUCAGCUUCUGAAUCGUAGCAUCCGGAGGCUCUGAGUCUAUGUGUCUGUUGUGGGAGUGUCCCUGCGAACACACAGAGAAGAAAGUGUACUGGUUUCCUAGGGCUGCUGCAGACUCGGUGGCUUAAACAACAGGAAUGUGCUGUUCUGGAGGCUGCAAGGCCAGGAUCAAGGUAGGGCAGAGUGGGCUCCUCUGAGGGCUGGAGGGAAGACCUGCUUCAGGCCUGUUGGCUCAGCUGUUGUCUCAUCCCUGUGUCUUCAUGGCAUCUUUUCUCAAUGCAUGUCUGCCACGCUGUCUCAGUUUCUCCCUUUUUAUAUGGACAUCUGUCCUUUUGAGUUAGGGCCCAUCCUAAUGACCUCAUUUAAACUCAAACUCUUAUCUCCAAGUCCUGUCACCUGCUGAUGCAUUGGGGGCUUGGACUUCUACAUAGCAUUUUUAGGGGACACAGUCCAACCCAUAAUGUGGAGUGAGCAGGUGCCUGAGGGCUUGAUUCAGAAAAGAGCAGCAAGAACAACACCCCCAAAGCUUGGAAGGGAACAGAGUGAGGGCAGAGACCAGGCUCACUUCUACCCUCAGGCAGCCCUCUGCACAGGUCCCUCCCUUUGCCCCCUCACCUGGGGCUGCUUGCCUUCUAGGUUAUGAGUGUGUGGGUAUGAGGGGAUGUGUGGGACAACACACAAGGGAGAGAAAGUAUAUGUGGUCCAGUUCUGCACACACAAGGCACACUGCAGUCUAUGCAGGAGAUGCCCCAUAAACAUGACUCUUAAGUGAUGUGGGGGUCUUGAGGGGGAUAGCAGGGAGGGGCAGGGGUCUCUCUGUUGGUACCUUUUGGUUACAAAGUAUGUGGAAUGCUGCAGGCUUGGCCAUCUCCAUUCCUGCUUUGACACUGGCUGGGAAGAGCAGAGAGAUCAGGAAUACUGGGGAGAAAGGGCUUCCCAUAAUACUCAGGCCAGGUGGGGCCCAGAGCUUGUUCCUGACAUUGACAAGCAUAUGGCUCCCUCCCUCCCUCCAUCCCCCCUCUCCUUGUCUGUACCCAGAGAUCCACCAGGUAGAGUGUAGGGGGAGUCUGCUGCUACCAGGUGUGAUGCCAUAUUUAUCAAGGUGAGUUCCUAGAAAGGUACAGGAUGCUGAGCAUGCUAGGCAAGCUGUCUGGGCCAGCUGCUCCAUUCCUGGCUAGCCACUGGAAGGAGGAGAUUCUGGAAUGUCACCCUAAACAAUAAUACCCUGAUUUAAACAAUAGUACCCUGAUUUGUAGAGUUUGCCAAUUUCUGUGCUGUAAAGACUUCCAUCAUAACUGAUUUCAUGCUAACAACAUCAAGUCAAAACAGGCUCACAGAUCUGAAAAUUUAACAUUAAUACCUUCCUAUCCCUGGUAUAAAGAAGGAACUGAGGCCCAGAAGUAGAUUAGCCCAAGGUCACAUAGCAAGUUGAUUAGGGGCUCAGCUGGACUAUGUGGCCAAAUUGUGUUGGAAUAUGUCUGUCUUCCCAGUGUCACCAUUAAUAAUGGGUCCUCUGAGACAGUGGGUCAGGGAAAUGAGUGGCAGACUGGCCAUCCAGUGGGAUAGCUAUGGGAGCUCUGAUCACCAGCAUGUCCUAAUAAUAACACCCAACAUCACAGAGCCACUAGUAGUUUACCAAGUGCCUUCUUACCUGUUAUCUCUAAAUUUAAUUUCCACAGCAACCUGGGGGGCACGUGUUGUUAUUACAUAUUACAGAGUAAUUGUCUGAUGUCUAGGUCAUGUGAUCACUAAGUGGCUGUGCAUUCACCCAAACCUAGGUCUUCUGAGACCAGUCCUGCUUCUUCCUACUUCUCAGGAUGCUGAGACCAUGAUGUUACUUCUCAGGAUUCUGGGCCAGGAUGCUUCUCCAGUAGCCUGACUAUUCUCCACCUAUAGAAGACCUAGAGCCCCUAUGCCAUCCACGAUGCUAUCAGUCUAGUGAAGAGGUUGCUCAGUUAGUACUUACUGGACCAUGCCUUGGACCAUGGCCAGGGGGCUAACCUUUACCUUCUGCUAUUCCCUGAGGGUGGUGCCCUUGAUGCCUGGCCACUCUCAUCCCACCUGGCCUCAUCUCACCCAGGACUGGGACCCCCAGCUUACUUCACCGCAGGUCUUCUCAGGGCUGUCUCCAUCCCCUACAGCCUCCCCAGGCCUUUCUUCCAAGGACUUAGCUGACACAGGUGAGGAAGGCAUUCAUGGUGUCAUUUUACUGUAGUUCCUUUCCUGGAAUAACUUAGCUUCCUGAUCCAGGAAGUCUCAGCCCCAGGCCCGUCUACAUCUCUCAGGCUGGGCUCAGCAUAUUAAAGGGAACUGUAGCUUGUUUGGAAGAUAGGCAGACAGACACACAGAAGAACAGAGGGAGGAAAAGAGAGAAAGGCACCGAGGAAGAGAGACAUGAAGUCAGAUAACCAAAGCCUAUAUGUGCUAGGCACUGUGCUAAGUCCUUAUAGUAACCCUCUGAGGUAAAUACUUUCUGAUCCCCAUCUGAGAGUUGAGGAAAUUAAGGAGGCUAGGGAAAUUAAGUAUCUUGCCCAAUAUGAUACAGCCAAUGACUAUGAAACAAACUCUGUAUAUCUGUUAUUAUCCAUUACACUACCGGGCAUUCUGGUUAAGAAAAGGGAGGCCAGAGGGAGUGAGACAAAGAGAUUGAGAGGUGAGAGGGUAAGUGAUGAGACUAGCUGUCCACCCAGCUUGGGGUGCCUUGGUCGAGAGGCAGGGUGCAAUGUACCAAGGAGAAAGUGAACCUGAUGAGAAGUCAGGAUAGCCUUUGCCAACUGUGUGGCCUUGGACCAGUUACUUCACCUCUCUCAGUCCUUUGGCAGGCAGCUGUGCACAUGUACCUGGAGAAGCCUGCUCACAACUUGCAGGAGCCAGGUAGGCAAAAAGGACUCUGUCCUCCAAAUUAUGGGGAUGUGUGCUCUGACUACUACUUCUGAUCACAGAGGUACAGACAAAAGACAGGUGUCCAUUUUUUUGUGCCUCUCUUAUUGUUGCAAGCCCUUCCCCCUCUGGCUGAAGUGACUUUCACAGUAUUUAAGAGACCAGCACCUUCUGACGCUUAAUUUUCCUGUUUUUUUCUUCUUUUGGGAGCCAGAUAUUAAAAACUAGGACAUUUGAAACCAACUCCAUCUAUGAAGAAAAUUAGAAAAGUGAUAGUGACUGCCCAGGAAAAGGCAGUCAGGAAAAACCUGACUUUAAGUUUACAUCUUAGGUGAUCCUUGACACAGAGAUAGCCUACAGCAACCAAAACAGCAAAACAAAACAAUAAUAAAGUCAGCAAACCCUUGGAUUUCCAUAGUUACCAGAUUAUUAGAUUCAAAUAACCAGUGUUCAAAAAAAUAAAAAAAGACAUACAAAUAAGAAAAUGUGGUCCAUUCAAAGGAAAAAAAAAUCAGAAGAAACAUCUUUGAAAAAGACCUGAUGUACUGGUACCACACUGUCUUGAUUACUGUAGCUUUAUAGUAUUGUCUGAAGUCUGGGAGAGUUAUGCCUCCUGCUUGGUUUUUGUUCCUCAGGAUUG